CGGGGUGAGUAACGCGUGGGUAACCUGCCUCAUACAGGGGGAUAACAGUUAGAAAUGACUGCUAAUACCGCAUAAGCGCACAGUACCACAUGGUACGGUGUGAAAAACUCCGGUGGUAUGAGAUGGACCCGCGUCUGAUUAGCUAGUUGGUGAGGUAACGGCUCACCAAGGCGACGAUCAGUAGCCGACCUGAGAGGGUGAUCGGCCACAUUGGGACUGAGACACGGCCCAA
This 232-nucleotide ribosomal RNA is filed under the name uncultured bacterium. RNAcentral's name for it is "partial 16S ribosomal RNA". It matches the Rfam family "Bacterial small subunit ribosomal RNA", at positions 104 to 334 of the family's 1533-position model. The record is from RNAcentral.